RNAcentral lists this ribosomal RNA (1253 nucleotides) under metagenome. RNAcentral describes it as "bacterial LSU rRNA". It matches the Rfam family "Bacterial large subunit ribosomal RNA", at positions 1689 to 2925 of the family's 2925-position model. The record is from RNAcentral.
CUCGAGAGAACUGUGGUUAAGGAACUCGGCAAAAUGCCCCCGUAACUUCGGGAGAAGGGGGACCAGUCCUGGUGACGACAUUUACUGUCUGAGCUGGGGUUGGUCGCAGAGACCAGAGAGAAGCGACUGUUUACUAAAAACACAGGUCCGUGCGAAGUCGUAAGACGAUGUAUACGGACUGACGCCUGCCCGGUGCUGGAAGGUUAAGAGGACCGGUCAGCCACUUCGGUGGCGAAGCUGAGAAUUUAAGCCCCAGUAAACGGCGGUGGUAACUAUAACCAUCCUAAGGUAGCGAAAUUCCUUGUCGGGUAAGUUCCGACCUGCACGAAUGGCGUAACGACUUCUCGCUGUCUCAACCACAGACUCGGCGAAAUUGCAGUACGAGUAAAGAUGCUCGUUACGCGCGGCAGGACGAAAAGACCCCGGGACCUUCACUAUAGCUUGGUAUUGGUGUUCGGUUCGGUUUGUGUAGGAUAGGUGGGAGACUGUGAAACUCGCACGCCAGUGUGGGUGGAGUCAUUGUUGAAAUACCACUCUGACCGUAUUGGACAUCUAACCUCGGACCAUGAUCUGGUUCAGGGACAGUGCCUGGUGGGUAGUUUAACUGGGGCGGUUGCCUCCCAAAAAGUAAUGGAGGCGCCCAAAGGUUCCCUCAGCCUGGUUGGCAAUCAGGUGUUGAGUGUAAGUGCACAAGGGAGCUUGACUGUGAGACGUACAUGUCGAGCAGGGACGAAGGUCGGGACUAGUGAUCCGGCACCGGCAAGUGGAAGCGGUGUCGCUCAACGGAUAAAAGGUACCCCGGGGAUAACAGGCUGAUCUUCCCCAAGAGUCCAUAUCGACGGGAUGGUUUGGCACCUCGAUGUCGGCUCGUCGCAUCCUGGGGCUGGAGUAGGUCCCAAGGGUUGGGCUGUUCGCCCAUUAAAGCGGCACGCGAGCUGGGUUUAGAACGUCGUGAGACAGUUCGGUCUCUAUCCGCCGCGCGCGUAAGAAACUUGAGGAAACCUGUCCCUAGUACGAGAGGACCGGGACGGACGAACCUCUGGUGUGCCAGUUGUUCCGCCAGGAGCACCGCUGGUUAGCUACGUUCGGAAGGGAUAACCGCUGAAAGCAUCUAAGCGGGAAGCCUGUUCCAAGAUGAGGUUUCUCACCACCUAGCGUGGUUAAGGCCCCCCACAGACCAUGGGGUUGAUAGGCCAGAACUGUAAGCACAGCAAUGUGUUCAGGUGACUGGUACUAAUCGGCCGAGGACUUAC